UGUUUCCAGGUGAGUGUCCCCGCCCUUCUAGACCCGCCCCUCCCACUCCUCCCGCUGUCAGGCUGCCCUGGACCCGCUCUGCACAGCCUCCUCACAUGCUCGCUGCCAGCCUGGACCAGAACUGGAUCUAGGAGGACGCUGCACCCCGGUACCUGACCCCCACAAUAAUCAAGAGGGUUAAGGUCCACAGAGCUUACGGUGGUAUCCGAAUCAGGUCUCUGGGAUAUGCUGAUUCUCAGUCCUUGUCCUCAAGGGGGAUUUCCUCUCAUGAAAUGGGUCUACUAGCUGUGCCAGUCAUCUGUUGGUCACUCUUGCAAUUUCUAUACCAUCUUUACUCCAACAUAUCUUGUAGGCCAAACAAAUUGUAGCAGCCAAACAUUGGGCAGAGCAUGGGAAAUACUGAAGAAGAAAGAAAGGAAGGAUUUCAGGGUCCAGUAGUGUCAAGAAAACCCACAGAAUCAACUAACCUGGGCUCAGAAGGGCUCACAGAGACUGAAACGACAACCAGGGAACCUACAUAGGACUAACAUAGACUUUCUGCCUAUUUGGUACAAUUUGUAACUUGGUCUUCGUGUAGGACUCCUAGCAGUGAGAGCAGGGGGAUGUCUCUGACUCUGUUGCCUGCUUUUGGGACUCAUUCCUCCUGCUGGAUUCCCUGAUCCAAGCUUGGUGGAGAGAGGGUGCCUGCUCUCACUGCAGCUUGAUAUACCAAGGCUCACUGAUAUCUAUCUAUGGGAUUCCUGUCUGUAUCUAAAAAAUAACAGUGAAGGAGGAUUUGAUGUGGUGGAGGGGGAGAACAAUGUUGUAGGGGACCUAGGAAGAGGGAAGGGAAGAUAAGCUUUGGGUAGAAUGUAAAAUCAAGAAAAUAAAUAAAUAAAAAUAUAAUAAUAAAUAUGAUAAAAUGAAAAGAAACAAAUACACAAAGAAGACCAAGGGAAGCAAAAUAAGAAAAAUAAUCUAUGAAAAUAUCUUUCUGUCUAUUUUGUGUUGUUGAACCACUCUUGUGCAUGGGACUUGUCCUGACGUGUUUCUAAUAAUAUACUCAGUGAGACUCCACUGGAGGAAACUUCUUUUCCUUUUCAAAGCAGGUAUCUAUUUCACAUAGCUUCUUCUUUAGGGGUGAAAAUUGGUGUUCACUUGCCCCUCUCAAUUAUGAGACACCUGUAUACAGCAUUUGAACCUCAACAAGCCUUGGGCAUGCUCACACAGUCUGGGUGAGCUUAUAUAUGUCUCAGUGCCAUUGUGUCAGGAAAACACUGCUUCCUUGGAGUUAUCCACAUCCUUUGACUCAUAAUUCUGUCAGUCUCCUCUUCUGCAUCGAUCUCUGAGCCUUGAGUUGAAGGAAUUGAUGAGACAACUCACUGAAGACAAUGUGGUCAAAAGUUCCACACUCUUUGCACACUGUUCCAUUGUUGAUUUCUGUGUUAGUUCCCAUUGACUACAAGAAGCAUUUUCUCUGAUGAGAGCUGAGUGAUGCACUGAUCAAUGAGUAUAGCAGAAUAUCAUUAGGAUUCAAUUUAUUUCUGUGUUCUUUAAACAGAAAAUUAGUACUAGAUUUCCCCCUAUGUCUUUCACAUAUAUACUCUGAGGUUCUGGGAAUCUUUAUGCAUGUCAGGUCGAGUUCCAUUUCAUGGAGUGGACUUUAAAUCCAGCCAGACAUUGGUUGGUUAAACCCCUAGUAUUUAUGCCAUUAUUGUAUUUAUGUACCAUGCAGGCAGGUCAUCACUGUAGAUCACAAAGUCUGUAGCUGGAUUGGUGGUUUCAAUGUUCCUCUGGUAGAAUGCAGAAUACUUUCCAGUACCAUGAAUGCAAGUCUGUGAGGGUGAAGGCUUUAGAGAGCACUAUCUUGACUUCUCCAUGUUCAGUAAAAUAAUAAGUGGUGUCUUCUGCAAUAAAGCCUUAACAGAAACUUGUGUAGAGUAACCCAUAGCCUUGGGAAUAGCCAAUGAUGUUUGGUAGUUUCCAUGGAUCCCCUUUGGCCAAUGACUCAACAAGAUAUGUAACCUGUUCCUGGCAUUAGAUAAAUAUUUGGUGCAGAAAAUGUCUAGCUGGGGCACUGUUCCCCCCUUUAUUUGGUGAUUCCAUUCAGACUUCCUUUACACAUGUAAAUACUUUAGGAACCUUCCAAGUAGCAGGUUUCCAGAUAGUUUUCAACUGGCCUCGAGUAUGAGUUGCCCUUCUAAACACACCCACAAUUAUCACUCUCUGCCAUUACCUCCCUAUUUAAUCUUCUAAUUCUAGUUUGUCCUGUAUCCCUGCAUAACAGUAUGUUUCAUUUUCCCUUCCAUGCUAGAUCCUCUCUACCCUGGUCCCUUACUACAUACUUAACUUCUGUGGUUAUUCAGAUGGUAGAAUGCAUAUCAAAGUUUUAAAAGCUAAGAGUCACAUGUAAAAGAAAACAUACAUUUGUCUUUUUUGGGAGGAGGGUGGUGCUUUGGUAUAUUCCUCAAGAUGAUUUUCACUAGUUCCAAUAUUUGCUUGUGGAUAUCAAGAAUUACUUAAAUAAAGUUUAUUUAUUAUUUUAUAUCCUGACCACAGUUUCCCCUCCCUCCUCUCAUCCAAGCCUUUCCCCCCACCUCACCUCUUCCCCACCCCCAUCCAUUCCUCCUACUUUUCUAUUCAGAAAGGGUCAGGCCUCCAAUGGUUAUCAAAAAAUUAUGCCAUAUCAAGUAUCAGGAAGACUAAGCACCUCCCCUUGUAUUAAGGCAG
Non-coding RNA from Peromyscus maniculatus bairdii (prairie deer mouse), 2709 nucleotides. The record is from RefSeq and is a predicted model, not a curated record. NCBI's taxonomy places the organism in Eukaryota, Metazoa, Chordata, Mammalia, Rodentia, Cricetidae.